This 131-nucleotide transfer RNA is filed under the name Acidithiobacillus sp. RNAcentral describes it as "tRNA-OTHER". The record is from RNAcentral. Lineage: Bacteria; Pseudomonadati; Pseudomonadota; Acidithiobacillia; Acidithiobacillales; Acidithiobacillaceae.
GGAGCAGUAGAAGCACGGAAGCUUACCCGCCCUUUACCUUGGCCCUAGGCCACUUGACACGCGGGACGGCGGAUUCGAUCGCGUAAGCAUGGGAUGAAGUUGUUGUGUCGGUUCGACUCCGGCCUGCUCUA